GGGUGAUUAGCUCAGCUGGGAGAGCACCUCCCUUACAAGGAGGGGGUCGGCGGGGUUCGAAUCCUGCACGACCCACCA
This 78-nucleotide transfer RNA is filed under the name Escherichia coli. Its description in RNAcentral is "tRNA-Val". It matches the Rfam family "tRNA". From Rfam's summary of the family: Transfer RNA (tRNA) molecules are approximately 80 nucleotides in length. Their secondary structure includes four short double-helical elements and three loops (D, anti-codon, and T loops). Lineage: Bacteria; Pseudomonadati; Pseudomonadota; Gammaproteobacteria; Enterobacterales; Enterobacteriaceae. The record is from RNAcentral.